This 390-nucleotide ribosomal RNA is filed under the name uncultured bacterium. RNAcentral's name for it is "bacterial SSU rRNA". It matches the Rfam family "Bacterial small subunit ribosomal RNA", at positions 132 to 507 of the family's 1533-position model. The record is from RNAcentral.
AUAAGACAGGGAUAACGCACGGAAACGUGAGACUAAAACCAGAUAAGCAUUUUCCACGCAUGAGGGAGAUGAGAAGGCGGAGCAAUCUGCCGCUUAUGGAUGGACCUGCGUCGCAUUAGCUAGCUGGAGUGGUAAAGGCACACCAAGGCGACGAUGCGUAGCCGACCUGAGAGGGUGAGCGGCCACACUGGGACUGAGACACGGCCCAGACUCCUACGGGAGGCAGCAGUAGGGAAUCUUCCGCAAUGGACGAAAGUCUGACGGAGCAACGCCGCGUGAGUGAAGAAGGUUUUCGGAUCGUAAAGCUCUGUUUGCCAGGGAAGAAGAGCAAGGAGAGGAACUGCUCCUUGAGUGACGGUACCUGAGAAGAAAGCCCCGGCUAACUACGUG